GUGGCGAACUGGUGAGUAACACGUGGGUAACCUGCCCUUGAAGUAGGGGAUAACACUUGGAAACAGGUGCUAAUACCGUAUAACAACCAAAACCACCUGGUUUUGGUUUAAAAGAUGGCUUCGGCUAUCACUUUAGGAUGGACCCGCGGCGUAUUAGCUUGUUGGUAAGGUAACGGCCUACCAAGGCAAUGAUACGUAGCCGACCUGAGAGGGUAAUCGGCCACAUUGGGACUGAGACACGGCCCAAACUCCUACGGGAGGCAGCAGUAGGGAAUCUUCCACGAUGGACGAAAGUCUGAUGGAGCAACGCCGCGUGAGUGAUGAAGGGUUUCGGCUCGUAAAACUCUGUUGUUGGAGAAGAACAGGUGUGAGAGUAACUGUUCACAUCUUGACGGUAUCCAACCAGAAAGCCACGGCUAACUACGUGCCAGCAGCCGCGGUAAUACGUAGGUGGCAAGCGUUGUCCGGAUUUAUUGGGCGUAAAGCGAGCGCAGGCGGUUUCUUAGGUCUGAUGUGAAAGCCUUCGGCUUAACCGGAGAAGUGCAUCGGAAACCAGGAGACUUGAGUGCAGAAGAGGACAGUGGAACUCCAUGUGUAGCGGUGAAAUGCGUAGAUAUAUGGAAGAACACCAGUGGCGAAGGCGGCUGUCUGGUCUGUAACUGACGCUGAGGCUCGAAAGCAUGGGUAGCGAACAGGAUUAGAUACCCUGGUAGUCCAUGCCGUAAACGAUGAGUGCUAA
This 739-nucleotide ribosomal RNA is filed under the name uncultured bacterium. Its description in RNAcentral is "bacterial SSU rRNA". It matches the Rfam family "Bacterial small subunit ribosomal RNA", at positions 95 to 819 of the family's 1533-position model. The record is from RNAcentral.